GCCCCGGUAGCUCAGCCGGUCAGAGCGAACGCCUCGUAAGCGUUAGGUCGCGGGUUCGAGUCCCGCCCGGGGCU
RNAcentral lists this transfer RNA (74 nucleotides) under Bacteroidota bacterium. RNAcentral's name for it is "Bacteroidetes bacterium tRNA-Thr". It matches the Rfam family "tRNA". Rfam says of the family: Transfer RNA (tRNA) molecules are approximately 80 nucleotides in length. Their secondary structure includes four short double-helical elements and three loops (D, anti-codon, and T loops). Further hydrogen bonds mediate the characteristic L-shaped molecular structure. tRNAs have two regions of fundamental functional importance: the anti-codon, which is responsible for specific mRNA codon recognition, and the 3' end, to which the tRNAs corresponding amino acid is attached (by aminoacyl-tRNA synthetases). tRNAs cope with the degeneracy of the genetic code in two manners: having more than one tRNA (with a specific anti-codon) for a particular amino acid; and 'wobble' base-pairing, i.e. permitting non-standard base-pairing at the 3rd anti-codon position. The record is from RNAcentral. Lineage: Bacteria; Pseudomonadati; Bacteroidota.